Molecule: non-coding RNA, 188 nt
Filed under: Desulforamulus hydrothermalis Lam5 = DSM 18033
Lineage: Bacteria; Bacillati; Bacillota; Clostridia; Eubacteriales; Peptococcaceae
Description: Desulfotomaculum hydrothermale Lam5 = DSM 18033 6S / SsrS RNA
Rfam family: 6S / SsrS RNA
About the family: E. coli 6S RNA was the first non coding RNA to be sequenced, but its function was unknown until recently.
Source: Rfam by way of RNAcentral
AUUGCCCUGCUUUGUGCGUGUGUAACCUGAAGUUUUGAGCCAACAUUGAAGAAAUAGGGAGCCCGGUUUCACGCAAGGGAAUGUAGACCUUACCGGCAUAAGGAAACAGGAAAUUGCGGAAGGGCACCCACCUGUUGGAGAACAGGUUCAAAAAACUUUGGGUAUAAACACGGCAUGGUGGGGUUUCC